AAUGAACGCUGGCGGCAUGCCUAACACAUGCAAGUCGAACGAGACCUUCGGGUCUAGUGGCGCACGGGUGCGUAACGCGUGGGAACCUGCCCUUAGGUUCGGAAUAACUCCCCGAAAGGGGUGCUAAUACCGGAUAAUGUCUUCGGACCAAAGAUUUAUCGCCUUUGGAUGGGCCCGCGUUGGAUUAGCUAGUUGGUAGGGUAAAAGCCUACCAAGGCGACGAUCCAUAGCUGGUCUGAGAGGAUGAUCAGCCACACUGGGACUGAGACACGGCCCAGGAUCCUACGGGAGGCAGCAGUGGGGAAUAUUGGACAGUGGGCGAAAGCCUGAUCCAGCAAUGCCGCGUGAGUGAUGAAGGCCGUAGGGUUGUAAAGCUCUUUUACCCGGGAUGAUAAUGACAGUACCGGGAGAAUAAGCUCCGGCUAACUCCGUG
This 433-nucleotide ribosomal RNA is filed under the name uncultured bacterium. Its description in RNAcentral is "partial 16S ribosomal RNA". It matches the Rfam family "Bacterial small subunit ribosomal RNA", at positions 29 to 507 of the family's 1533-position model. The record is from RNAcentral.